CGGUACUGUGUGUCCCUUGAGGAUCAACUGGUGUCUGUACCCAACGUUGUGAAGUACCUUGGCGCAAACCUGGCAUCUGUGCACAGCUCCGAGGAGGACCAGUUUCUACAGGCGUUGGUCUUGGUCAAGACUGUUGGUUUCCCUCCUACCUGGAUUGGCGGAUUUUAUUCGGUUAAGGACAGGCGGUGGUUCUGGAGUGAUGGCUCCGACUUUGAUCACCAGAACUGGGCUAAAGGAAGGCCUGGUGCUGGUGCCAGAGAGUCUUGUGUUCAUAUCAACUUUGGAGGUCAACAGCGCUGGGACAAUGCAUUAUGUGAAAGGAGCUUGCCCUCUGUGUGCUCCCUGAGGCUCCUGCCGCUUCGCCAGAGUAUCCAUUAAAAGCAGCAAUGCUA
Long non-coding RNA from Oncorhynchus gorbuscha (pink salmon), 392 nucleotides. RefSeq lists it as uncharacterized. The transcript is spliced from 3 exons. The record is from RefSeq and is a predicted model, not a curated record. Lineage: Eukaryota; Metazoa; Chordata; Actinopteri; Salmoniformes; Salmonidae.